This 1251-nucleotide unclassified non-coding RNA is filed under the name Neodiprion lecontei (redheaded pine sawfly). RNAcentral describes it as "uncharacterized LOC124292945, transcript variant X3". Lineage: Eukaryota; Metazoa; Arthropoda; Insecta; Hymenoptera; Diprionidae. The record is from RNAcentral.
GUCGCGCUUCUAGUGUGGCAUGGAAGCGGCAUUAGUUUUGUAAUUCAAUUACAUGCCUAUAUAUAUUUAAUGGCCCCCUAUUUUUGUCAUGUGUAAUUUAACUUUUAUCAUUACUUUAUGAAUUCUAUGUGUAAUUGGAUUCAUUUCGACUGAUCGGGUUUUCAGCCCAUGUGGCCACUGUCUGACAUAACCUAACUGCUUCUUUUAAUCCUGUUAAGUUCGAGUUUGAUCAGUAUUCAGCCAGUACCUAAAAAAAUCCUUGUGGGGGAUAUCCAUAUCUUCUAUAACAUAUGUAUGCGCAGAUCUCUCUUUUUUCUUCAAAUACUCUGAAUUGAGAAGAAACGAACUCAAAAAUGUGUGACAAACGAACAUUGAAUAGAGACAAGAUCAACGAAACAAGGCGAAGACAACGACAAAUUGUAAAGGCAAUGGCCCGUGAUAUUGAUAUGCGAUUAACGUCAGAUGAAACCUCGACAGACGAAUCAGAUUAGGUACGGGAGAAAGCCCGCCAAAUUCGCCAUUGCCGGCGUUGACGCAUAACGACAUGACAACAUAACAUGUUCCUCGAGGAAAACCUUCGGUUUUCGGUAAAAUGUCGGGGAUGAAAAUUGAAAGAGACCAAAGAAGACGGUACUUUCACAAUCGACUGCGUACCAUGUAGCUGGAUACGAUACGACCAUGAGAAGGGACACAUGUUGGCGAAAUUUGCACCACCACCAUACGGAAACAAAACAGCUAAUAAAUUAUUAAAAUCAUUGAUAAAAUCACAAAGCCCUGCUUUGCCGAAUUGGCCAGAAUAUGUCGUAGAACUUGUUGGUCAUGCAGACACAUAUGAGAAAUCCAUUGAAAGACUAGGCAUUUUGCAAAGCGAUGAAUUUGCUUAUACAACAGAUUCUGACAACACAAGACAAGAAAAGGCAUCUCAAAUAACUGAAAAAAUAAAGAAACAGAGCUUAGAAAAAAUCAUGGAAGUGCCAAGACUUGAGAGCGAUGAUUCAGGUGAAUAGGAAAACGAUACGAGGCAAGAUGAUGAGGCGUGCAAUGGAACCCGCGCGCCGAUGUGACGUGCCGUGCUGGAUAAAUUAAUUCUUUUCCUCCAAUAAUAAUAAUUUCUCCAUCAAUUAAAAAUACGUUAUGGGUAAAAAAUUUGACGUAGAAUACGAUGGUUGUGCUGAGAACUCGCUACGAGGUUGGGGCAAUUGUUAAAAAUCGAUUGAAAGAUUUUAAUUGUUUACAACAGUAUAAAUUUCG